AGAACGAACGCUGGCGGCAUGCCUAACACAUGCAAGUCGAACGAGACCUUCGGGUCUAGUGGCGCACGGGUGCGUAACGCGUGGGAAUCUACCCUUGGGUUCGGAAUAACAGUUGGAAACGACUGCUAAUACCGGAUGAUGACGUAAGUCCAAAGAUUUAUCGCCCAGGGAUGAGCCCGCGUAGGAUUAGCUAGUUGGUGAGGUAAAGGCUCACCAAGGCGACGAUCCUUAGCUGGUCUGAGAGGAUGAUCAGCCACACUGGGACUGAGACACGGCCCAGACUCCUACGGGAGGCAGCAGUGGGGAAUAUUGGACAAUGGGCGAAAGCCUGAUCCAGCAAUGCCGCGUGAGUGAUGAAGGCCUUAGGUUGUAAAGCUCUUUUACCCGGGAAGAUAAUGACAGUAACCGGAGAAUAAGCUCCGGCUAACUCCGCGCCAGCAGCCGC
This 445-nucleotide ribosomal RNA is filed under the name uncultured soil bacterium. RNAcentral describes it as "bacterial SSU rRNA". It matches the Rfam family "Bacterial small subunit ribosomal RNA", at positions 26 to 518 of the family's 1533-position model. The record is from RNAcentral.